AAAAGGGACAAUAUCCCGGGACACCGGAGGAAACCCGGCAGCUGAUCCACUUUCGGGCUGAAAACAAGCAGAAGUUUCUUAAAUCAAAAUAUGCUGCAAAGCAACUAUGGCGUACCUGCCAACACUCCUGUUUUUUACGUGUUUCUCCCGUUUUUUAGCCCUAUCUCCCGGACCCUUCCUGGUUUGUUAUUUCUCCCGGGAAAUGUAAUUUGCAUGGCCCAAACUCCUUUAUAAAUAAUCGGACCAAUGUGUUUGUCCAAUGUUGAGAAGUUGCCAGGUCUUGUAUGAAACA
Etheostoma spectabile (orangethroat darter) is the source of this 292-nucleotide long non-coding RNA. RefSeq lists it as uncharacterized. The record is from RefSeq and is a predicted model, not a curated record. NCBI's taxonomy places the organism in Eukaryota, Metazoa, Chordata, Actinopteri, Perciformes, Percidae. The transcript is spliced from 3 exons.